Sturnus vulgaris (Common starling) is the source of this 499-nucleotide non-coding RNA. NCBI's taxonomy places the organism in Eukaryota, Metazoa, Chordata, Aves, Passeriformes, Sturnidae. The record is from RefSeq and is a predicted model, not a curated record.
GUUAGGUUAAGUGUGAGGCAGCAAAAAGUAAGUUUGUGUUUGCAGAUGGUUUCAGAGCAGUGAGAAACACCAGUUCUUUUUUUGGAGCCAAAUUUCUGAUCUCAUUGCAAGGCUCCUGUCAUGUGGACAGGGUGGGUGGAACUUCUGAUCUUUGGACCCACUGUAAAUAUUGAACAGUGGGCAGGGGCAACGCCGUGUCUCGAUCUUGUGGGAGGCACAGCAGGACUUCACCUUCCCUGUGCUGUGACUGUCCCCAAAGCAUGGGCAGAGCCACGAGGGAGCUGCUCAGCAGAUGGAAUUUCUGUUCAGGGCUCCUGCUUUGCUGGUAGGAAUGUUCUUGGGAGGCAAGAGCACACACGGGAGAACACGCUCCCUGCAUGGACCAUGCCCAGUGACCACGUUUGGACCAAAGGCCUGCAUGCUGCAGAAUCCUAAAACGAUUAUGUGAGUACUCAUCCCAGCAGGGCCACUGUGCUCCUUCUGUGGCAAAGAAAACCAC